GUGUCAGCAGCCGCGGUAAUACGUAGGAUCCAAGCGUUGUCCGGAUUUACUGGGUGUAAAGGGUGCGCAGGCGGAAUGGUAAGUCAGAGGUGAAAUCUCAUCGCUCAACGGUGAAACUGCCUUUGAUACUAUCAUUCUUGAGUCCGAUAGAGAUCUGUGGAAUUCCGAGUGUAGCAGUGAAAUGUGUAGAUAUUCGGAAGAACACCAGUGGCGAAGGCAGCAGAUUGGGUCGGUACUGACGCUCAGGCACGAAAGCAUGGGGAUCAAACAGGAUUAGAAACCCUCGUAGUCC
RNAcentral lists this ribosomal RNA (292 nucleotides) under uncultured bacterium. RNAcentral's name for it is "partial 16S ribosomal RNA". It matches the Rfam family "Bacterial small subunit ribosomal RNA", at positions 505 to 796 of the family's 1533-position model. The record is from RNAcentral.